UACGUAGGAUGCAAGCGUUGUCCGGAAUCACUGGGCGUAAAGGGCGCGUAGGCGGCUUGAUAAGCGUGCGGUGAAAGCCCGGGGCUCAACCCCGGGUCGGCCGUGCGAACUGUCGAGCUGGAGCACUGUAGAGGCAGGUGGAAUUCCGGGUGUAGCGGUGGAAUGCGUAGAGAUCCGGAAGAACACCGGUGGCGAAGGCGGCCUGCUGGGCAGUAGCUGACGACUGAGGCGCGGACAGCGUGGGAGACCAACAG
Molecule: ribosomal RNA, 254 nt
Filed under: uncultured bacterium
Lineage: Bacteria
Description: partial 16S ribosomal RNA
Rfam family: Bacterial small subunit ribosomal RNA
Source: RNAcentral